AUUGAACGCUGGCGGCAGGCCUAACACAUGCAAGUCGAGCGGAUGAAGGGAGCUUGCUCCUGGAUUCAGCGGCGGACGGGUGAGUAAUGCCUAGGAAUCUGCCUGGUAGUGGGGGAUAACGUCCGGAGACGGGCGCUAAUACCGCAUACGUCCUGAGGGUGAAAGUGGGGGAUCUUCGGACCUCACGCUAUCAGAUGAGCCUAGGUCGGAUUAGCUAGUUGGUGGGGUAAAGGCCUACCAAGGCGACGAUCCGUAACUGGUCGGAGUGGAGGAUCAGUCACACUGGAACUGAGACACGGUCCAGACUCCUACGGGAGGCAGCAGUGGGGAAUAUUGGACAACGGGCGAAAGCCUGAUCCAGCCAUGCCGCGCGUGUGAAGAAGGUCUUCGGAUUGUAAAGCACUUUAAGUGGGGAGGAAGGGCAGUAAGUUAAUACCUUGCUGUUUUGACGGUACCAACAGAAUAAGCACCGGCUAACUUCGUG
RNAcentral lists this ribosomal RNA (484 nucleotides) under uncultured bacterium. RNAcentral describes it as "partial 16S ribosomal RNA". It matches the Rfam family "Bacterial small subunit ribosomal RNA", at positions 30 to 507 of the family's 1533-position model. The record is from RNAcentral.